CCUACGGGAGGCAGCAGUCGAGAAUUAUUCACAAUGGGGGAAACCCUGAUGGUGCGACGCCGCGUGGGGGAAUGAAGGUCUUCGGAUUGUAAACCCCUGUCAUGUGGGAGCAAAUUAAAAAGAUAGUACCACACGAGGAAGAGACGGCUAACUCUGUGCCAGCAGCCGCGGUAAUACAGAGGUCUCAAGCGUUGUUCGGAAUCACUGGGCGUAAAGCGUGCGUAGGCUGUUUCGUAAGUCGUGUGUGAAAGGCGCGGGCUCAACCCGCGGACGGCACAUGAUACUGCGAGACUAGAGUAAUGGAGGGGGAACCGGAAUUCUCGGUGUAGCAGUGAAAUGCGUAGAUAUCGAGAGGAACACUCGUGGCGAAGGCGGGUUCCUGGACAUUAACUGACGCUGAGGCACGAAGGCCAGGGGAGCGAAAGGGAUUAGAUACCCCUGUAGUC
RNAcentral lists this ribosomal RNA (446 nucleotides) under uncultured bacterium. RNAcentral describes it as "partial 16S ribosomal RNA". It matches the Rfam family "Bacterial small subunit ribosomal RNA", at positions 338 to 795 of the family's 1533-position model. The record is from RNAcentral.